AAUGAACGCUGGCGGCGCGCCUAACACAUGCAAGUCGAACGAGAAAUCUCGAGCUUGCUCGGGAGAGUACAGUGGCGCACGGGUGAGUAACGCGUGGGUAACCUAUCCUUAAACCUGGGAUAAUCCACCGAAAGGUGGCCUAAUACCGGAUACCGUCACGAGAACCCCGGUUCUCGGGAUGAAAGCUGACCUCUUCGUGAAAGUUGGCGUUUAGGGAGGGGCUCGCGUACCAUUAGCUUGUUGGUAGGGUAAUGGCCUACCAAGGCUACGAUGGUUAGCUGGUCUGAGAAGACAACCAGCCACACUGGAACUGAGACACGGUCCAGACUCCUACGGGAGGCAGCAGUGAGGAAUCUUGCGCAAUGGGGGAAACCCUGACGCAGCGACGCCGCGUGGGUGAAGAAGGCCUUCGGGUCGUAAAGCUCUGUCAAGUGGGAAUAACAUCACGCCGUUAAUAGCGGUAGGA
Molecule: ribosomal RNA, 466 nt
Filed under: uncultured delta proteobacterium
Lineage: Bacteria; Deltaproteobacteria
Description: bacterial SSU rRNA
Rfam family: Bacterial small subunit ribosomal RNA
Source: RNAcentral